RNAcentral lists this ribosomal RNA (464 nucleotides) under uncultured bacterium. RNAcentral describes it as "partial 16S ribosomal RNA". It matches the Rfam family "Bacterial small subunit ribosomal RNA", at positions 29 to 507 of the family's 1533-position model. The record is from RNAcentral.
ACGAACGCUGGCGGCGUGCUUAACCCCUGCAAGUCGAACGGAAAGGCCCUGCUUGCCGGGUACUCGAGUGGCGAACGGGUGAGUAACACGUGGGUGAUCUGCCCUGCACUUCGGGAUAAGCCUGGGAAACUGGGUCUAAUACCGGAUAGGAGCCAUUUUUAGUGUGACGGUUGGAAAGUUUUUUCGGUGUAGGAUGAGCUCGCGGCCUAUCAGCUUGUUGGUGGGGUAAUGGCCUACCAAGGCGGCGACGGGUAGCCGGCCUGAGAGGGUGGACGGCCACAUUGGGACUGAGAUACGGCCCAGACUCCGACGGGAGGCAGCAGUGGGGAAUAUUGCACAAUGGGCGCAAGCCUGAUGCAGCGACGCCGCGUGGGGGAUGACGGCCUUCGGGUUGGAAACUCCUUUCGCUAGGGACGAAGCUUUUUGUGACGGUACCUAGAUAAGAAGCACCGGCUAACUACGUG